This is a long non-coding RNA of Brienomyrus brachyistius, 1175 nucleotides long. RefSeq lists it as uncharacterized. Lineage: Eukaryota; Metazoa; Chordata; Actinopteri; Osteoglossiformes; Mormyridae. The record is from RefSeq and is a predicted model, not a curated record. The transcript has 4 exons.
AAAGUCAAGGUUAGAACUGCCAACAUUCUGCAAAAUAAAUUACACAGAUAUACGGAAAUAUCAUCAACUUUCAGAGUAUUGCGCAAUUUAACUUUGCAAAUCAAUACAGAAUUCCAUGGCUAAAAACAAAAGAAUUAAAACGUCCAGUCUAAAUAACAUUUGUGUAGUGUAUCUGCACUUCAGUUCUUAAACGAUCAACAGAAACAUCCUCAGGUCCUUGAGGACAGACCCGGCACUGGCUUCAGCCGAUACUGGGACAGGCGUGAAUGUGGGCAGGGCAUCUGAGAUGGGCUUCAUUAGCAGAAAGUGCUGUACUGGCAUUGCUAACAGUAGGGGACACAUUCAGUGGUGUGAUGUCAUAGACUGGCAAUUUGGGAGCUGGGAGCGCAGGGCUGGAUUCCACUUCCAGGAACUUCAGAAACAUCUCAGAGAAAGACUACAAUGACAAAAAAAGUAGCUGCAAAAGAAAGAGGACAAAAGACGUGAGCAGGAAGUGGCAGAGAAGAGAGAAGAGUACUUAAGGGACCUCUGCUGUCUUCUGAAGAAUGAACACUGUAAAAGUGGUGUUUAUAAGACAAAACAUCUGGUUACCUUUGACUUAAUAAAAUUCCUAUCAUGAAAUACAAGAAGACCGUAUAUGGUGUGGAGAAAGAGCAGAAAAACUGUGGUAGUUCAGGAAGUAGUGAUUUAAGUAAAUAACAUCACACUAUUGGGUCAACUUGUGCAGAAAGGACACUAAGUGACAUAAUACUUCCUUUAUAAACCUUUCAGAUCAGAAGUGUUUUUGUGCAACAUAUGUGCAAGUAAGGUUGUUUAAAUUCAGUUUCCAUUGAGUUUUGGAGGAACUGAUCACAAAAGCAGCUAUUAAAUCAGAGAGCCAGAAUGGCGGAAACUAGUCAACAUGGAAACUAGUGAAAUAAUGUGCGAAUCAGCAGAAGAUUGCGGCAAUACAGUAACUCCUGUACUGUUAAACCUGAAAAGCCAAGUCCGGAAACACUUUGAAUUACACCGGCAAUUUUUUUAAAAAUCAUUUAAGCUAUUUUAUGCACAUAAGCCUGUGUCAGCUGUGUAAUGUCACCCGUGUGAUAUUUUAAUUCCACACAAGUUUUUUGUAGCUAAAUAAGAAUGUGUUAUGCAUUAUGAUCUCCUUGUCAUUUUAUUCACUUAAGACAGUA